Long non-coding RNA from Scylla paramamosain (green mud crab), 1221 nucleotides. RefSeq lists it as uncharacterized. Lineage: Eukaryota; Metazoa; Arthropoda; Malacostraca; Decapoda; Portunidae. The transcript is spliced from 2 exons. The record is from RefSeq and is a predicted model, not a curated record.
GAUGUGAUGGAAGUUGCCAGCGAUAUGCCUGUUACCGCCGAGCGGGUGAAAGACCGCCGAGCGGAUGAAAGUUAUUGUUGAGCAUGUGUAUGCUAAAUAAUAUGAUCUGUGUUACGAGAGUUGAAGUGAACUAGUAUAUGAAGCAUGGGUAACACUAAGGAAAAACUAAGUCAUUAGAGUAGAGAUUAUGGAAACUGAAUUCAUUAUAGUAGUUAAUCACAGUAGUGAAGAUGUGUGAGAGGAACUAGCUGUGGAGAGCUUAGCUGCAGAGAGGUAGUGAGAGUUGUGUUUACGUGGUAAAGUCGAUGACAUAGCGCGAAGAGUAGAUAAGACACUGAGGGAUCUCUGUAGAGGAAUGAGUCACCCAGGUGUGAGGUGCCGAGGGCCAGCAGGAACGAAGCCCGGUGAGACAGAUUCCUUUGUACCGCCACCGAGUUAUGGUGUGACUACUUCAGGAAAGAUCGGACCUCUACAAUACAGACGCAGGUGUUGCUCGGUGACGCCUCCUUAAGACCCCAAACACAUUUUCAACGAUCCACUGCUAGUGGGCGAAGCUGCAACCUCUACUGCACCAAGAAAACCAGCAAUGUCCUAGUGUGCAUCUUCUACGGAUACAAAUGUGACACCACGCGAUACUUCUACGCCCUGUACUUCCAAGCGAUCAGCCAAAAGGACACAUGACGAUGCAGAUGACGUAAUUAGGGAAGCCCUCCAGCAAAUGAGGGAAUUGUCGUCUACACAAGACACUGCCGAUGAGUUCACUGAUUUUGCAAAAGUAAUUGCAAACGACUUGCGACAACUGACGGGUGAAACCCAAAUUGUGGCACAAAAAUUAAUAUAUGACGUUAUAUUUCUUGCUAAACUUGGUAAACUUUCAACUUCCUCAAUGGUUAAACAGUAAUUCAUAAUCUAGAUGGGUUUACACAUAGUGCAUUUUUUAUUUUGAGUUUGGAUUGUGUUCCAGCCCCCUAAAAAUAAAUGGACAUUGUAAAGUGUGAACACACACACACACACACACACACACGUAUGUAUACAUAUACGAGUAUAUGCGGGAGCAGACACAGAUGUAUCCAUAUACAUAUAUGCUAAAGUAUAUAUGUAAUUGAUAGAAAUAGCACUAUUAUUUCAUAUAAACACAGCUGGGCCUUUAUUACACUUAACAUAAGCAUACAUAAUGGACAAUACACUAUGUACUAAGCUCAAUAAAGUUGUUUUGCAUUA